AGAGUUUGAUCCUGGCUCAGAUUGAACGCUGGCGGCAUGCCUUACACAUGCAAGUCGAACGGUAACAGGUCUUCGGAUGCUGACGAGUGGCGAACGGGUGAGUAAUACAUCGGAACGUGCCCAGUAAUGGGGGAUAGCUCGGCGAAAGCCGGAUUAAUACCGCAUACGCCCUGAGGGGGAAAGUGGGGGACCGCAAGGCCUCACGUUAUUGGAGCGGCCGAUGGCUGAUUAGCUAGUUGGUAGGGUAAAGGCCUACCAAGGCGACGAUCAGUAGCUGGUCUGAGAGGACGAUCAGCCACACUGGGACUGAGACACGGCCCAGACUCCUACGGGAGGCAGCAGUGGGGAAUUUUGGACAAUGGGGGAAACCCUGAUCCAGCAAUGCCGCGUGUGCGAAGAAGGCCUUCGGGUUGUAAAGCACUUUUGUCAGGGAAGAAAUCCUUUGGGCUAAUACCCUAGGGGGAUGACGGUACCUGAAGAAUAAGCACCGGCUAACUACGUGCCAGCAGCCGCGGUAAUACGUAGGGUGCAAGCGUUAAUCGGAAUUACUGGGCGUAAAGCGUGCGCAGGCGGUUGUGUAAGACAGGUGUGAAAUCCCCGGGCUUAACCUGGGAAUUGCAUUUGUGACUGCACGACUAGAGUGUGUCAGAGGGGGGUGGAAUUCCACGUGUAGCAGUGAAAUGCGUAGAUAUGUGGAGGAACACCAAUGGCGAAGGCAGCCCCCUGGGAUAACACUGACGCUCAUGCACGAAAGCGUGGGGAGCAAACAGGAUUAGAUACCCUGUAGUCCACGCCCUAAA
Molecule: ribosomal RNA, 800 nt
Filed under: uncultured bacterium
Lineage: Bacteria
Description: bacterial SSU rRNA
Rfam family: Bacterial small subunit ribosomal RNA
Source: RNAcentral